RNA transcript from Macrobrachium nipponense, 4126 nucleotides. It is a transcript of the gene named calmodulin, with no coding region annotated. The transcript is spliced from 6 exons. Lineage: Eukaryota; Metazoa; Arthropoda; Malacostraca; Decapoda; Palaemonidae. The record is from RefSeq and is a predicted model, not a curated record.
GCAGUAUAACGAAUUCGGGAAAGAUAGGGUGCAGAGGUGGCGGUGAGGAGGAGAGUGGAGUGGCGGGAGAAGUGAGAACGCACUCAGUCACUCUGAGACAGUGGUGCCGACCAGACGUCGCUAGAUAGACCUUGUGAUACUAACACAUCUCAAAAAUGGCGGAUCAGCUUACCGAGGAGCAGAUUGCAGAGUUCAAGGAGGCCUUCUCCCUCUUCGAUAAGGACGGUGACGGCACAAUCACCACCAAAGAAUUGGGCACAGUCAUGAGGUCCCUUGGUCAGAACCCCACGGAAGCAGAACUUCAAGACAUGAUCAACGAAGUCGACGCUGACGGCAACGGUACUAUCGACUUCCCCGAAUUUCUGACUAUGAUGGCGCGUAAGAUGAAGGACACUGACUCCGAAGAAGAAAUCAGGGAAGCAUUUAGGGUCUUCGAUAAGGACGGCAACGGUUUCAUCUCUGCGGCUGAGCUUAGGCACGUGAUGACCAAUCUCGGAGAAAAACUCACUGAUGAGGAAGUCGACGAAAUGAUCAGGGAGGCAGAUAUUGACGGAGACGGUCAGGUCAAUUAUGAAGAAUUUGUGAGAAUGAUGACUUCUAAAUAGAAACAGGGACGACCUAGACACGUCCUACGUCCGGCACUCAGCCUUCCUAAUCCCUAGAAUAGUUAGUUCGUCACAAUGAUGACCUCAAAGUGAAGUGAUCGCACCCACUUAAUAAUAAAACAAAUUUCAAACGAACAGUUUUUCUGCUUUCCAGUUUAUCUUAUUAAAAGGAACUGCUAAAACCCAUUAUAAUAAACGAGUCACAUACUGUAUAUCUUAAACUUGCCUAACUCUUUUGCCUUCAAUAACAAUCUGGCUCUUUAAGCGCUACUACUGUCAGGAAAAAUAUUACCAACACCAACACCACCAAAACCACCACCACUACUCUGCCACCAUUUGCCAAUACUGAUGCUGCAAAUCAUUACCAUAUCCAGGAGAAUAAACACUCUUAAUUAGUAGGCAGCGAUGAUUCCAUAUCUCCUCCUCCUCCUCCUCCUCCUCCAUCAUCAUCAUCAUCAGCGGCUGUGGACCUGGGAGAGAGUGGCGUGUGAGGGGUUCGCUUUUCUGAACCCUCCCUGACCGAGUUUUAUUACAAGGACUCGUCGUCCCCAGUAGCAAGUAGCGCAGUUAUAUGUAUGGGUUGGUUGGUUGGUUCUAGGGGUGCGCUUCGGGUGGUCAGACCUCUGGAGAAAGAAAAUACAUAUAUAUAUAAAAGUAAUUUACCAAGAAAGCCCAUUAUAAAAAAAAAUGUUUACAGGUAGAAAGUUGAUAUAAAAAGUUGUGCAAGGAUGGUGGAAGUCAUCAUAUGUCCACAUGAUGCUUUUAAAAAAUUACAUUUUUACUCUUUUGUUUAUUUUUCUUGAGUCUUGUAGAAAUGUUUUCAGCUUCCAAAGAAAAAAAAAAACAUCUUUUUGAAGUCCUGAAGAAAGGACUGCUACUACUACUACUACUACCCCUUUUUAAAGUACAGUCAUUGUUAUUGUGUGGUAGCCAUAUAAGCUAGUAGUGAAAGACUCCCUUCAGCUUGCUUUGUUUCAAAUGGUGUGUUAAUGAACUAUGAAGUGACGUUUCCAAUGGGCUUCUUUGAUUUGAAAUAUAGUCAGUCACCUUUGAAGACCAUAAAAAAAAGGUUCGUUCGUUCGUUCGUUCCUCCAACAAACAACACUCCGUCGUCAUCGUCAACAACAGAGGACUGCCACCCAUUCUAGUCUGAAGACUAUAUGCUCUUUCUCCUUUUAACUAUUUUUUUUUUCUUUUCCUUUUUUUAGUACUGUUCUAUUUGAAAAUAAUGGAAAGCUAGGUUGCGCAGUUUAUAUAUAUAUAAUUAUAUGAACUGUCAUGUAAAUUUUUAAGUUACAUAAAUAAUUUUUUCUUAAUUUUUGAAAACUAUGUAAUGGUGAUAUCAUCCAGAAUGGUGUUACAUGUCAAGGAUUUUUGUUUUCUCUUCCUUUCACUGUUCACCAAGGGUGAUAAUUAUUUUAUAUUGUGUUUGUCUGGAAGAAAUCAGAAAAAUAUUGAAUACAGUCUAGAGGAGAGGGGAGGGUGCGCUGUACUGUAUUUUAUGUUGGUUGAAUGAGAGAUACAUUUACGUAUCAACAUACUUCUUGUUAGCUGUGUCUUUGUCGAUUUUCUUAAAGGAAUAGCAAAUGUAUACAUAUUGCAAAAAACAAAAAAUGAAGUUAAAUUCUUGUACUACAUAAUACUAAUGUAAGGCACGUCAUAAACUAUAAUUUUUUCAAUCUUUCGUUGUAUCCUCACCAUUUCUUGCAUUGUUUUUCACUGUUAAAAUUGCCGCUAGUAGGGCACUUUUGCGUGCCGCUAAUAGCGACCCUGACCACUAUAAUUAUGAAUAUUGUGUAGGAAAAUAUACAGUUCUUUAAAAAUAUUCUCUUUCUGCAACAUGUCUUAUAUUUAUUUUUAUUUUUUCUUUUGGUAUUUCUCGCCAGAUGUGGCAUUGUUGGUUUUUGAAGCUUAUUAGGGUCUCAGCAGUUGAUGGGAGAAAAAUGUUGUAGUCAGCUUUUCAGAUUUUGUUAUUGGACGCCCCUCGGGGAACAGGGCCCAGGAUGGUGACGAAAGCAGUCUUGCCCUUCUACUCGGAGGCUGAGAGUGUGUGCACUGAACCCCCCCCCCCAAGAAGGCUUCUCAUAUGUUUUGGUAGCUGGAGGAAGGGAAUAAUGGCCUCACAGAAGUCUCUCGAGUGGUGUGGCAGUAGCAGCUUAGUGACCAUCCUACUGGCACAUUUUCGAUUCAUUUGGGGGAAUCCUUUUUAUGCGUUGCACGAGUUUUGUUGGGUGUUCGGUUUUCUUAAUGACAUGUGAUAAAACUCUGUAUCGCGAUGAACAUUCCUUUGACACUGUUGUAUGUGAGGUGUAGCUUCGUGCCGUGAUAUAAAAAAAAAAGCAUGUGCUUCACCACCUUUAUAUUGUGGUAAGUUAGGCCAGUGGGAAAGUGAGAGGGGCGGGUGUCAGCAGCAGACUUGGAACAGCUGAUGCUAAGGGGGGAACCCUAUUAUAAAGCAGUUUAUAGGUCAUUUGAUUUGUUGUUUUCAGAAUUCUUUUGAUUUCACCGAGUACAUUUGAGUCCAUAACUUGCUGCCACCGUGUUAACCUCCUGUUUUUUCCCACUUCCUUUCAUACCCUCUACAUAUAAAAGAGCCCUCAGCUGGUGAGACCCAGUGUCGCAGGGGCGUUUCCAUGCCACUGCAGUAGCUGCCACGCGUCACCUCCCCGACUACAGUACAUCAGCAGCAGUGCUGUUAUCAAGGGGGUGGCAGUGGAGUUGCUGUGCCACCUGCUACUGUACUGCCCAGCCGCACUGCACCACCCCAUCAACGUUACCAUAAUUAAACUUAUUGUUCGUUACAUUACUGUUAUAUAAAAAGUCUAUAUGAUGAACUGUAUUCUUCUUCUUCUUCUCUCCAUGUCCACAAUCCACUUGACUUUCCCUUCCUCUUAAAAACCAAUUUUUGAGAAUAUUAUCACCACUGCUUCAGUUCCAAGCAACCGAGUAGGCCCGGUUGCAUGCAACAUCGCUGCAGGUUUUUGCCAUAGUUUUCCUGAUAAAACGUGUGUUUGCGCGCGAACGAGCGAGCGACUGAGUAUAAGAGAGUUUCAAGUGUGUGUGAACAGGGCAGUGGUGGCUUACAACAGCCUCCCUUCCUGGCCUUCAUAUCAACCUUUCACCUUCCAUAAUUAUUAUUAUUAAUUCUCUUUGGGUUCUCUGUAUAAGCCAGCCUCUUCUCUCUUCCUCCUCCUCCUCCUCCUCCUCCUCCUCCUCCUCCUCUUCCACCUCUUCCUUCUCUUUGGCAGGUCAGUCAUCCCACCUCUGUCAUGUUUAUGCUUUGUCUUUUGCUGGUGUUUUUCUUCACUGACUCGGAUGGCCCUGGGUGAGGAUGGGCAGUGGGUUUGAUCUGCUGGUAAAUUGUGGGUUGUGGGCAGUGUGUGGGCAGGCGGCCAGGCAGGGUUUCGGGAUGGGACAGGAUGCCUCUGCGGCCUCUUUGCCCCCACCACCAGGAUGCCAUUAGUAUAAUUUGAGGACCUGAUGUCAUGUUGUAUUGAAUAAAAAAGAUCAAGAAAGUAAAA